UUUUUGCAUUGUGAAACUGCGAAUGGCUCCAUAUAUCAGUCAUCAUUCCUUUGGCGAUAAUUCUCUGUAUGGAUAACUGUGGCAAUCCCAGAGCUAAUACAUGCUUCCAAAUCCAACUUUGCAGAAGGGUGGCAAUUAUUAGACACAGAACUUCCAUGGACUUCGCUCCUUGAUGGAUGACUCAUUGUAAUACGUGAAUCGCAGCAAUCCUGUGUGCGAUGGUCCAUUCACAUGUCUGACCUAUCAGCUUCGGACGGUAAGGUAUUGGCCUACCGUGGCGACGACGGGUGACGGAGAAUUAGGGUUCGAUUCCGGAGAGGGAGCCCGAGAAACGGCUGCCACAUCUAAGGAUGGCAGCAGGCGCGCAAAUUACCCAAUCCUGACACAGGGAGGUAGUGACAAGAAAUAACAAAACAAGGCGCUAUUGUCUUGUGGUUGGAAUGAGUGAGAUGCAAAUUCCCCCGCGAGUAUCCAUUGGAGGGCAAGUCUGGUGCCAGCAGCCGCGGUAAUUCCAGCUCCAAUAGCAUAUAUCAAAGUUGUUGCGGUUAAAAAGCUCGUAGUUGGAUUUCUGUCGAGAGCAUCUGUUCCGCUCAUUGGGCGUGCAUUUGGUUUGCUUUGGGCAUAGUUCAGACUAUCUGUGAGGCACUUGACUGUGUGUCCCGAAAGUCUGAUCUUUUACUUUGAGGAAAUUAGAGUGUUUCUCGCAGGCAUACGCCUUGAAUUUAAUAGCAUGGAAUCAUGACUUAGGACUUUACUUCUGAUAUGUUGGUUCUUAGGAAGAAAGUAAUGACCAACAGGGACAACUGGGGGCAUUCGAAUUUAACAGUCAGAGGUGAAAUUCUUGAAUUUGUUAAAGACGGACAACUGCGAAAGCAUUUGUCACGGAUGUUUUCAUUGAUCAAGAACGAAAGUUAGGGGAUCGAAGACGAUCAGAUACCGUCCUAGUCUUAACCAUAAACAAUGCCGACUAGAGAUCGGAGGACGUUGAUUGUCUCGACUCCUUCAGCACCUUCUGACAAAUCAAAGUUUUUGGGUUCCGGGGGGAGUAUGGUCGCAAGAUUGAAACUUAAAGGAAUUGACGGAAGGGCACCACCAGGAAUGGAGCCUGCGGCUUAAUUUGAUUCAACACGGGAAACCUUACCAGAUCCAGACAUAACAAGGAUUGACAGAUUGAUGGCUCUUUCUCAAUUUUGUGGGUGGUGGUGCAUGUCCGUUCUUAGUUGGUGGAGUGAUUUGUCUGGUUAAUUUCGUUAACGAACGAGAUCUUAACCUACUAAAUAGUUUUGCGUUACCUUCAUUACGUGUAUCACUUCUUAGAAGAACGUUGUGUGUCUAACACAAGGAAGUCUGAGGCAAUAACAGGUCUGUGAUGCCCUUAGAUGUUCUGGGUUGCACGCGCGCUACACUGAUGCGUUCAACGAGUUUAACACCUUGCCCGAACAGGCUUGGUAACCUUUUCAAUACACAUCGUGACAGGGAUAGAAUAUUGCAAUUAUUUUUCUUUAACGAGGAAUUCCUAGUAGGUGCGAGUCAACAGCUCGUGCUGAUUACGUCCCUGCCCUUUGUACACACCGCCCGUCGCUCCUACCGAUUGAGUGGUCCGGUGAAUAAUUUGGACUGGUGCGUUUGUUAGCCUCUAAUCACUGUUGCAGAAAAUUUUGUGAACCUUACCACUUAGAGGAAGGAGAAGUCGUAACAAGGUUUCCGUAGGUGAACCUGCAGAAGGAUCA
RNAcentral lists this ribosomal RNA (1730 nucleotides) under Oodinium pouchetii. RNAcentral describes it as "SSU rRNA". It matches the Rfam family "Eukaryotic small subunit ribosomal RNA". The record is from RNAcentral. Lineage: Eukaryota; Dinophyceae; Peridiniales; Oodiniaceae.